RNAcentral lists this ribosomal RNA (468 nucleotides) under uncultured bacterium. RNAcentral's name for it is "partial 16S ribosomal RNA". It matches the Rfam family "Bacterial small subunit ribosomal RNA", at positions 28 to 507 of the family's 1533-position model. The record is from RNAcentral.
GACGAACGCUGGCGGCGUGCUUAACACAUGCAAGUCGAACGGAAAGGCCCUGCUUUUGUGGGUUGCUCGAGUGGCGAACGGGUGAGUAACACGUGAGUAACCUGCCCUUGACUUUGGUAUAACUUCAGGAAACUGGGGCUAAUACCGGAUAGGAGCUCCUGCUGCAUGGUGGGGGUUGGAAAGUUUCGGCGGUUGGGGAUGGACUCGCGGCUUAUCAGCUUGUUGGUGGGGUAGUGGCUUACCAAGGCUUUGACGGGUAGCCGGCCUGAGAGGGUGACCGGCGACAUUGGGACUGAGAUACGGCCCAGACUCCUACGGGAGGCAGGAGUGGGGAAUAUUGCACAAGGGGCGGAAGCCUGAUGCAGCAACGCCGCGUGCGGGAUGACGGCCUUCGGGUUGUAAACCGCUUUCGCCUGUGACGAAGCGUGAGUGAAGGUAAUGGGUAAAGAAGCACCGGCUAACUACGUG